UACGUAGGUGGCAAGCGUUGUCCGGAUUUAUUGGGUUUAAAGGGUGCGUAGGCGGUCUAUUAAGUCAGCGGUGAAAGACGAUAGCUUAACUAUCGAGGUGCCAUUGAUACUGAUAGACUUGAGUGUAGUCGAGGUAGGCGGAAUGGACGGUGUAGCGGUGAAAUGCAUAGAUAUCGUCCAGAACACCGAUAGUGAAGACAGCUUACCAGAGUACAACUGACGCUGAGGCACGAAAGUGUGGGGAUCAAACAGG
RNAcentral lists this ribosomal RNA (253 nucleotides) under uncultured bacterium. Its description in RNAcentral is "partial 16S ribosomal RNA". It matches the Rfam family "Bacterial small subunit ribosomal RNA", at positions 524 to 776 of the family's 1533-position model. The record is from RNAcentral.